GCCAGUGUUGUGUAGUGGUUUGUGCAUUGGACUAUAACUCUGGAGACCAGGGUUCAAAUCCCAGCCCAGCCA
Phrynosoma platyrhinos (Desert horned lizard) is the source of this 72-nucleotide non-coding RNA. The record is from the annotation of a GenBank genome assembly. Lineage: Eukaryota; Metazoa; Chordata; Lepidosauria; Squamata; Phrynosomatidae.